UACGAAGGGUGCAAGCGUUGUUCGGAUUUACUGGGCGUAAAGCGUCCGUAGGUGGUUUGUUAAGUCAGAGGUGAAAUCCCGGGGCCCAACCCCGGAACUGCCUUUGAUACUGGCAGGCUGGAGCGUGAUAGAGGAAGAUGGAACAUCUGGUGUAGGGGUGAAAUCCGUAGAUAUCAGAUAGAACACCAAUGGCGAAGGCAGUCUUCUGGAUCAUCGCUGACACUGAGGGACGAAAGCGUGGGUAGCAA
RNAcentral lists this ribosomal RNA (248 nucleotides) under uncultured Muribaculaceae bacterium. Its description in RNAcentral is "partial 16S ribosomal RNA". It matches the Rfam family "Bacterial small subunit ribosomal RNA", at positions 524 to 771 of the family's 1533-position model. The record is from RNAcentral. Lineage: Bacteria; Pseudomonadati; Bacteroidota; Bacteroidia; Bacteroidales; Muribaculaceae.